GAGGGAAAGGCGAAAAGAACCCCGGCGAGGGGAGUGAAAAAGAACCUGAAACCGUGUACGUACAAGCAGUAGGAGCCCCAUCACUCAAGUGCCUCGCACUGAGUGAUGCAAGAACAUCACCGAAAAUAGCGCCGAAUUUGCUAACAAGGUUGGUCGAUUUUUUCAAACCGUCGCGCAGUGUACCUAGAAGUACACGAGCAACGGAAGUUAAAAAAUCGGGCAAGAUUGAACGCAAAGGCAAGCGGGACAUUUGAGGAUGGGGUGACUGCGUACCUUUUGUAUAAUGGGUCAGCGACUUAUAUUCUGUAGCGAGGUUAACCGUAUAGGGGAGCC
This 333-nucleotide ribosomal RNA is filed under the name Proteus mirabilis. RNAcentral's name for it is "partial 23S ribosomal RNA". It matches the Rfam family "Bacterial large subunit ribosomal RNA", at positions 505 to 667 of the family's 2925-position model. Lineage: Bacteria; Pseudomonadati; Pseudomonadota; Gammaproteobacteria; Enterobacterales; Morganellaceae. The record is from RNAcentral.